RNAcentral lists this small nucleolar RNA (90 nucleotides) under Cephalotus follicularis. Its description in RNAcentral is "Small nucleolar RNA R64/Z200 family". It matches the Rfam family "Small nucleolar RNA R64/Z200 family". Rfam says of the family: This family of plant small nucleolar RNAs belong to the C/D class of snoRNA which contain the C (UGAUGA) and D (CUGA) box motifs. This family includes Arabidopsis thaliana snoRNA R64 and Oryza sativa snoRNAs Z200 and J16. Most of the members of the box C/D family function in directing site-specific 2'-O-methylation of substrate RNAs. Lineage: Eukaryota; Viridiplantae; Streptophyta; Magnoliopsida; Oxalidales; Cephalotaceae. The record is from Rfam by way of RNAcentral.
CCUCUGCGAUGAUGAAUUAUGAAAAUAUUCACAUGUCAGACUUCGGAGAUAACAAUCAAUGAGAAGAAAAUUCAUGUCUCUGAGCAGAAG